AUCAGCAGGUGUGUGUGUGUCUGUGUGUUUCACCCUCAGCAGGUGUGUGUGCGUCUGUGUUUCACCCUCAGCAGGUGUGCGUGUGUGUGUGUGUGUGCGUGUGUGUGUGUGUGUGUGUGUGUUUCACCCUCAGCAGGUGUGUGUGUGUGUGUGUGUGUUUCACCCUCAGCAGGUGUGUGUGUGUCUCACCCUCAGCAGGUGUGUGUGUGUCUCACCCUCAGCAGGUGUGUGUGUCUCACCCUCAGCAGGUGUGUAUGUGUGUGUGUGUCUCACCCUCAGCAGGUGUGUGUGUCUCACCCUCAGCAGGUGUGUAUGUGUGUGUGUGUCUCACCCUCAGCAGGUGUGCUCUUAACAUCAGUGUCUGGCUCCAGUUCCAUACUUUUCAUUGGGAGAUGCAUUUGCUUUGGCAUCAGUCGAGAAGCUUC
Long non-coding RNA from Triplophysa rosa, 425 nucleotides. RefSeq lists it as uncharacterized. The record is from RefSeq and is a predicted model, not a curated record. The transcript is spliced from 2 exons. Lineage: Eukaryota; Metazoa; Chordata; Actinopteri; Cypriniformes; Nemacheilidae.